This 481-nucleotide ribosomal RNA is filed under the name uncultured Aspergillus. RNAcentral describes it as "bacterial SSU rRNA". It matches the Rfam family "Eukaryotic small subunit ribosomal RNA", at positions 539 to 1033 of the family's 1831-position model. The record is from RNAcentral. Lineage: Eukaryota; Fungi; Ascomycota; Eurotiomycetes; Eurotiales; Aspergillaceae.
CCCUAAUUGGAGGGGCAGGUCUGGUGCCAGCAGCCGCGGUAAUUCCAGCUCCAAUAGCGUAUAUUAAAGUUGUUGCAGUUAAAAAGCUCGUAGUUGACCCUUGGGUCUGGCUGGCCGGUCCGCCUCACCGCGAGUACUGGUCCGGCUGGCCCUUUCCUUCUGGGGAACCUCAUGGCCUUCACUGGCUGUGGGGGGAACCAGGACUUUUACUGUGAAAAAAUUAGAGUGUUCAAAGCAGGCCUUUGCUCGAAUACAUUAGCAUGGAAUAAUAGAAUAGGACGUGCGGUUCUAUUUUGUUGGUUUCUAGGACCGCCGUAAUGAUUAAUAGGGAUAGUCGGGGGCGUCUGUAUUCAGCUUCAGAGGUGAAAUUCUUGGAUUUGCUGAAGACUUACUACUGCGAAAGCUUUCGCCAUGGAGUAUCACUAACCAGGAACGAAAGUUAUAGGAUCGAAGACGAUCACUAUUCAUAAAAUAUGUCUGG